GGCAUUUCAGCGGAUGCUCCACCGCCGCCACGACGAAAAGGUUGGGGACCACUGCCUUAUGGUGUUAAUUCUCAUUGGAUGGCUUCAGGUAUUUACAGAUGAUCUCAGAGGAUGUCUAGUUUAUAAAUAUUACUCAGUCUUGCAAAUAGAUUUCAACAUAAUAUAAACCUUAAUUGAGGUUUGUUUCUGUUCUCUCAUCCUUGCACUCCUUUCCUAGAAGAGUUGCUAUAUUAAGGGGACAAAAUAUCUCUGCUGGACACACCUACCAGGAAUACAUUUGAUUCACUGCUUAGGUGACUGGCAGAAGAAUAUUUAAUACUGAAUUUUAGUAAGACUCCUGUUAUACUAUAAACCCUCAUAAGAAACAUACUGUACGUUAUCAGAUAUAUAUUUUUCUAAAUUGCCUUCCAUUCUUGUCUAUAGUAUUUGGAAGAAGUCUGUAUGAGAAAAGGGCUGGAUACUUGUUUUUCUGCAUGUGUGAUGUGAAUUAAUUUCUGAUGUCUGCUUACUUUCCCGGAGGAAAUAAGAACACACACAACUUCACACUUUCCUAAUCCCUAAAGUCACUGCAGUGUAAAUUUUAAGAAAUAUUACAAAUUUUUUCACAUGAUUCUCUGGAACAAUACUUCAUUUAGAAUCCUUUAUCCAAGAAAUUUAAAUCCUACCCAGAGGUCUGCAAACUAACUGCAUUUUGCAGAAUUUAGAUUCCAAACCAUUAAGUCUGCUUGUGUGUGGAAAAUCAAACCUUUGAUGUGUUCAGUUUUUGGAACCGUCACCUCUUGAAUGUAGAUUUAUAUUUGAUGUAAAUUUUACCCCUUACCAUUCAGAACAAUUAAAAUCCCAAGUAGUUGGGAGUAUUAUAUUAGCAAAAGGACACAGUUUUUCUUUUUCAUUAAGGAGCACAAUGCUCUGUCCAGCUUAAACAAGAAAACAAAAACCUCCAAGCUCUGAUCUCCAAAAUAAAUGUAAUGUUCACUGUGAAAUUUCAGGAAAGAGGCAGCAGUGAUAAAACAUAAUCAAAUGGUAAGCUUGGGAAUUAAGUCAAUUCAAAGGGCAAGUAUAAGUAACAGUAUUGUAUGUCUUGUUUUGAUCAAUCAAGCUGAAGUAGUACCCCCAAGGUGCUCCUGAAACCAGUGAGGCUGUUCACAUGAGCAAGGGCUGCAGGAUCAGUCCCUUGAACUGCCAACUCUGCAUGUCUAUACUCCAUAAAGUAUUGAAUGUGUGCAUUCAUCAAUGUUCUAAUGGUAAUACGUUGAACAUAGUCUAGAAAUUGCACUAAUGUAAUGCAAUAGUUGACUUUUUUGGUUAAAAAUUUUGCAACAUGCAGAGCAUGUUUGUAGGAAAACUUGCAAUGAUUUUUCUGCAAGCAUUUAACCCUUUUUUACAUCUAUCCCUGUAAAAUAAGUGUAUACAUUGUGUUAACUUUGUUGUAACUGGUAACUUUUACAUGUAUUUUUUGUACUGUGAAUGACUUAUUUGAUAGAGGAAAAAAAAGUUAGGCCUAGUUAAUUUUGUGAGCAAUGGUAACAGGAGCUAUCUAGUUAUUGGUUUGCUGCACUAGCUAAGAAUUGUACUGAUAAUAAAGUAGUGCUGUGUGUUGACAGAUUAAAAUUCAGUAAGUAAUCUGAGGUCUCAGCCUCAUGGAAAUUUUUAAUCUGUAGUUCUCUAAUGGGAGAACAUUCCAAAAUGUGAGUGCUUGAUAUGGAAUGUGCAACUUGUGUAUUAAAAUAUUUUCAGAAAUAUUAAAUGCUUUUUUUCAUAUUUUGUUAGUGUCAGGCUGUUUAUUAAACCACGAUCUCCAACCUACAUCUACAUUUAUAAGAAAGUCUUUUUACAAUACAGUCUGAAGAUGAAGUUGUCCAUUCCACUUCUUGUCCGGCUGAGCCUUGUUGCUUGUACAACUGGCUGUGACUUUCUAUGCAAUGCAUAAAAAACUUGUUUUACAUAUGGGUAUUACAGAAUGUAUAGAAAAAAGGCAUGCCACUGUGUAAUGAAUGAGUUCCUUGAUAGCAGACAAAAAAUACUCCCAUAACUUAAAUUCCUUUGACAGCAUCAGAAAUUCCUGUAACUUCCCAACUUAGUCUUUUUUUUUUUUUUUUUAUUUAUUACAGGGUAUGUGGGAGGGACUUGGUUGAGGAAUGACAAUUGCCAAGGAGAGAGAUUAGUACCACAAGAUAUUCUGCUUCAAAGUUCUAGGGUAUGGAGUUGCGUGCCACACACCACAGCAUGUUAAUGUUUCUGAAACUGCUGACUACAAAUGCUUAUGUAAAAACAGGCAUUUGCUGCCUAUUUAUAUGCCCCAUAAAGGACCAACGUUUCUUGGAAUAUAGGCUAUCUUUUAGUUGUUGGUUUUUUUUUUUAAAAGGCUGUAAUUAUCCAAGGACAUCACUUCUGACAUCGCUAACUACUGUUCAUCCUUUGUUCUUAUCCUGUAUUAGUUUUUGCUCACAAAAUAUGGUUAUUUAUGCUUUGUGCCAGAACAAUUCGCCUUUCUGUCCUUACUAACUUUUUAAAGAGAAAUGGGUGAACACUUGAUUACAACACUGUAGCGCAGAAAUUGUCAGGUAGUCGCUGUGACAGUGCUGACCAUUGUCGUGUAAUAGUUUGGCUACUUUAAACUUUUCUUAUUUGUAACGUUCACUGUCACAUAAAUUAUGCUCUUCAAAAAGAAGUUCAGGUGGAAAGCCGCUUUGUCCAACUUUCAGUCAUAAAUUUAGAGUGCUGUACAUAAAGAAUAGAAAAAUCAUUACUGGUAAGCAUAAUUUCAUGUUGGAUUCAUGUACUGAAAGUUUUUUUUUUAAUAAUUGUAAUUGUUUCACUGUUACAAAGCAUGAUGAAGAAUUAUUGUUAUAUUAAUUCAAGAAGCUAGCUGUUAAAGGUCUAGCUAAAACUUCGGUGAAACAAAGAUGUUGAGUAUUAAGUAAGGUAUAGCACUGGUUACAGACAGUACAUACUUUACCCUUCGUUUGUUUUAAGUAUCUUUUCAUAAAACAAAUCUAAUAAACUAAUGAUCAGUAGCAACUGUACAAAGGAAUUACAAUCAGGCAGCUUUUACAGUGUAGACUCUAGCCUUCUCCUUAAUCUGCUGGAUAUUAGUGACACUAAUUUCUUGAGCAGUUUUAAACUAAAUAUUAGGUGAGGUCUAGUGGAAUUCUGUACUUGAUAACUAAUUCUUGUUUUGUGGUUGCCUUGGACUGUUUGCAGCAGAGGGGUUUUGUAGACAGUGGUUGUCAACCUUUUUUCAUUUGUGGACCCCUAAAAAUUUUUGAAUGGGAGGUGUGGACCCCUGAGAAAUCUUAGACAUAGUCUGCGGAUCCCCAAAGGUCUGCGGACAAUAGGUUGAAAACCACUGUUGUAGACUGGCUUUGCAAGUCACAGAAGCUUCUGUCUGUUUCUUUCUCAGUUAAUACUUUUGGCGUUUUAUCUGCCUGUUUUUUGGUGAAGAAAGCAACAUCCAAAAAUCUUACUAUACAUUCUGGUUCUAACAGAAAAAUGUAACAUAUUCUACAAUUAGCUUUUUCUCUGAUUUUUAUUUAAAAUGUAUCUUCAGAGGUGGAACUAACAAUGCCUAAGUCUAUUUUUAAAAUUGGUUUGGGGACUGUCUUUUCAUGCUUGCUGUAGGCCUGAAGCUGACUUGUGCACCCAUUUAACAUGGGGAGAACUAAAAUGGUUAGACAAGACUGAAGGCUGUCAUUAUUUCAAUUUGGAAAAAUAGGCAGUCCCAUUAGACAGUGUUGGGGGGUGGGAUAUUGGACAGAAAAAUAUUGAAAAUAUAAAAGAUACAGUGUCCCCUAACCUAAAGUACUGUUUGGGUCUGGCCACCCUAUCAGUGGCUAUAGCAGAAAUGGGAAUUCAGCAUAAGGGAAUAAGUCCUCAUUGGUAGAGAAAAACUUCCAUGUGAAGAGAGCCCCAAUCUUUCAGUCUAUUUGAAAGGUUGAUGAAAGUCAAAGGAUAGAAAUACAAAAUUGUGCUAUAGAAAAAGAGGUAAAUCAGGGCUCUUAUUUAUCCUCCUAGCAUAAAAGAUCAAAGGGACAUUGUGAAACUCAAUGCCAUAUCUUGUGGAGGCUUAUGAGGAUUCAAGAAAGGAUUAGACAUUUGUGGAAUAAAAAUAAUCUACAGUUACACUAGGUAGGGUACAAAAUUGGAAAGAAUAUAAACUCACCUUUCAAGACACACUAACCACCUUCCUGCUAAGGACUAAAAGGAAACUUCCCCUCUGCGUAGUUAUUGUAUAAUUGUCUGAACCUUUGUCUGAGGCAUCAAAACGCUGCCGUUGAAAACAGGAUAAUGAAAUAGAUGGCCUACUACCCUGAUCUAGUAUGGCAGUUACUAUGUUCUUAAGACUGCAAAAAGGCAAAAAAAUGUAAGUUUUAGCAGCCACCAAAUAAGUUUCCAGUAGCAGAGCAUAAAAUGAAAAGCUUGUCCUGUUUAUAGAAUAGUCAGUAAGUUGUGACUAGCGAAAUCUUGAUCUUCAGCACAGCAUCAAUUUAACUCAAAGCAAUUGGUUAAAGGUUAAUUUAUUGCCAAGAGCCCAAAACAGAGCAGGUUUUGAAAUAUGUUUAGGCCACUUGUAAACUAGCCUUUGCUAUAACUCCAGAUGGCUUAAAUCUUUAACAAGUUUUUAAGCCAGUUAGAAUUUGGGGGAAAUUUCACCAUUGCCUGACAACGCCUGAAAAAGAUGCUAUCAGAGACAAGAGGAUUGAUAGAAGGGAACUAACUCAAAUGUAUGUUAGAAGAUAAACAGAACUCCACCUCACCAGGUCUCAGAAAGGAGUUUGAUCUGGGAAACCUUUGUAAUAGGGAUAUCUCUGGGCCUGUAAAAGGGAACAGAACUACUGCUAGAACGUCCAAGAUGUAUGUAAAAUCACUGCCUGGCAAGCCCUGGAAUUUUAUCUAAUUUAGGAUUUCAUCUCAUGAAUAACUAGAUCCAGUCUAGAAACCAACUUCUCACAGGCUUUGAGGGAUUCCUAUUGGCAGGAAACUUUUAAACUUGCUUCAAAGAAUAAGUGAAUCUGAAGAUUUGUGACUGUUGAAGCUAAAACUGCCCAGUCUCAAAACUACAUACUCCUGGCUCCUAUGGAAAGAUCGGCCUGAUCUUGUUUAGCUUUAAAGUAAUCUCGAAUAGUCUCCUCAGCUCACUUUUGUUCCUCUUCAGCCUUAAGAAUAUCCUGUUCAGCAAUAUGGUCCUUUAAAAGAAGAAAGUGUCCAGUUGUAUUUACUGACAAGCCUCUAAAUCUCAGUAAAGAGACGAUGGUCAUACUGUGUCAACUGAGAGCGGUCUCUACGUAUUUGAGGGCAGACAGUGUCCCAUAGUCAUAACACACAUCCUUGCCAGUACUCAGGAUAAUUUGGUCUGGCGAGCCAUGGGGCCAGCAUUCGUAUAGAACAUCGCACUCUUAAAGCUAGCAUAACUAGACAUCUGGGACUUCUUCCAGCAUUGGAGAACCCCCAAGUACCAUAGGGGUGGAAUAGCAGCUCCUUUGCCACCUCCUCCCAAACCUUCAAGACCAGGAGCUGUGAAGAGUGGAAAGGAGAUGUAUCCUGAGCCUUGGCAAUCCCAACAAGCCCCAGGCCAUUGGCAGCUACUGUAACUUAGCUCAGCCCUGAGCCUGCUCAUUGGGGAUCAGACCGGCAACUCAAGGAUCAGGGGCAUGAAACUACUGUCCACCUUUGUGCUUAUCUCUCCACCCAAGCUGUGGUGACCAGCAGUGGUACCAAGGAUCUGGCUAAUGGUUCUUACUGAACAGCUAUAUUUAAACUGUUCUCAGUUCCCAUGAGUAGUUGUUUUAAACAUGAAUUGCCCCAGCUGCCUGUGUCAGUAGUGAAGCACCUGCACUGAGGCCUCUGGCUUUUCCUAGGAUGUCCCUUUGCUGCUUAGAGCACUUGUCUAAUUAGUGCUUUGCUCCCCUCUCUGCCUAAGUACAUGGAGAGCUAUCGCUGCCAAGGUGUUCAGCAGUUACCAGCUCUCAUGUUUUUUGAAAGUAGAGGGGCAUAUUUCAGACCUUAGCACUUUUUUUGUGUUCACACUGCAUUUGUGGCCACAACCUGGAUACCAAUAUUUGAAUAUCUAGCCUACUAACAGAAAAAUAUGAAAAAGUAGACUUUUAUUUCCAUAGGGCCCAACACAAAGUACCCUCUUUCUGAAAAGAGGCUAGAAUGCAUACAAUGCAUUUGGUAAAUCGCAAAUCAGCACUAAACAGCAGAUGCAGUUGACUGUAACAGAGAACAGCUGCUGUGCUGAGAGUGGGAUUGUCUAUUUAUAAUGGAAGAAACUGAUGAAGCAGUAAAGUAGUGUUUCAUACACUUAUAUCCUAAAAUUACAACACUAGGUACACCUUUUCCUAGGGGGAGUUAAGCUGCCACGCUCAUCAAGGUGAGAAUAUACAUUUGAUCUCCCCCCCCCCAUUAUUAGAAAGGGUGAUGAUCCACAACAUUAUUGCAUGGCCUACCACUGUGCAUGUUACCACCUUACUGAAAAUACUGCACCGACUUUAAAAAUAAAAGUGAAAUACAUGACAGAAUGGUAUAGAAGAAAUUACCUUAAACAGCAAACUCAGAGCCUGAUUUAAAAUAGCAGUUGUAAGUGCAUGGCUUCUCUCACGUUUAAGUCUAGAAUUGUGAUCCAGCAAUAUCUAUCAAGUUAGGCUUUUGUGUCAACCCAGUGAGUGAUUUGGGAAAAGGGGGAGCUUGAACUAAUAAUAGUAAUAACCUAUAAGAUAAAUAGCCUGUGCAUACAGAGAGAUUUUUUUUAUUUAGAGGGUCAUAUUUAGUUAAGUAUGCUUAUUAGUUAUAGUGUAUGUAUUCAAAUCAUUAUUUUUAUUAUAUACAUAUAUUUAAUGUUGUAGGUAGGUGGAAUGCAUUUGUUCUGAUUUUAAAUAAAAUCCCAAUAUUUUUGAA
Molecule: long non-coding RNA, 6897 nt
Organism: Mauremys mutica (yellowpond turtle)
Lineage: Eukaryota; Metazoa; Chordata; Testudines; Geoemydidae
Exons: 3
Source: RefSeq, a predicted model, not a curated record